GACGAACGCUGGCGGCGUGCCUAAUACAUGCAAGUAGAACGCUGAAGGAAGGAGCUUGCUCUUUCCGGAUGAGUUGCGAACGGGUGAGUAACGCGUAGGUAACCUGCCUGGUAGCGGGGGAUAACUAUUGGAAACGAUAGCUAAUACCGCAUAACAGUAGAUAUCGCAUGAUAGCUGCUUAAAAGGUGCAAUUGCACCACUACCAGAUGGACCUGCGUUGUAUUAGCUAGUUGGUGAGGUAACGGCUCACCAAGGCAACGAUACAUAGCCGACCUGAGAGGGUGAUCGGCCACACUGGGACUGAGACACGGCCCAG
Molecule: ribosomal RNA, 316 nt
Filed under: uncultured bacterium
Lineage: Bacteria
Description: bacterial SSU rRNA
Rfam family: Bacterial small subunit ribosomal RNA
Source: RNAcentral